AUGCUCACUUCAGCAGUACAUAUACUAAAACUGGGAACAAUACAGAGAAGAUUAGCAUGAUCCCUGCACAAGGAUGACAUGCAAAUUCAUGAAACAUUCCACAAAACA
Molecule: small nuclear RNA, 108 nt
Filed under: Neogale vison (American mink)
Lineage: Eukaryota; Metazoa; Chordata; Mammalia; Carnivora; Mustelidae
Source: RNAcentral